Molecule: ribosomal RNA, 437 nt
Filed under: uncultured bacterium
Lineage: Bacteria
Description: bacterial SSU rRNA
Rfam family: Bacterial small subunit ribosomal RNA
Source: RNAcentral
GCAAAACGCGAAGAACCUUACCUACUCUUGACAUCCAGAGAACUUUCCAGAGAUGGAUUGGUGCCUUCGGGAACUCUGAGACAGGUGCUGCAUGGCUGUCGUCAGCUCGUGUUGUGAAAUGUUGGGUUAAGUCCCGCAACGAGCGCAACCCUUAUCCUUUGUUGCCAGCGGUCCGGCCGGGAACUCAAAGGAGACUGCCAGUGAUAAACUGGAGGAAGGUGGGGAUGACGUCAAGUCAUCAUGGCCCUUACGAGUAGGGCUACACACGUGCUACAAUGGCAUAUACAAAGAGAAGCGACCUCGCGAGAGCAAGCGGACCUCAUAAAGUAUGUCGUAGUCCGGAUUGGAGUCUGCAACUCGACUCCAUGAAGUCGGAAUCGCUAGUAAUCGUGGAUCAGAAUGCCACGGUGAAUACGUUCCCCGGGUCUUGUACACCG